CAGAUGCUGCGGAAGACAUUCUCUUGACUUCCGUGUUAAUUAGCUCUUACAACGCUGUGACAAAAUACCUGGCAGACACUGAAAGAAGGAGGGUUUUAUGGUUUCAGAAGGUUCAGAAGUCUGUGCUUGCUAAGAUCUAUGUUCUUGGGCAAAACACAGCAGGAGCAUGUGGUGGAGGUUCUUUACCUUGUGGUGAACAAGGAGGAAGGGAAAGAGCUCACAGAAAGGGGCCAGAGCAAGGUAGAUCUCCUAAGGAAACUCCCUCAGUGCUGAACAAAAGGACCAGACACCACUGAAGACAAGACAAGUAGCCCAGUAAGAAGUGUCUGCUCCUGCUAGCACUAGUCUACUUCAACGAAUAUGAUGGGCAUUGAAACUCUAUAUGGAGUUUACUUCAAAUGUGGCAAAGCUAGCCAACUGGCAAGACACUGCCCUUGCCUCAACUGCUGACAGACAGUAUGCUGUACAAAUUUGACAAAUAGGACACCAAAGGCGACUGCUGGACUUUGCCACGACAAGGUAGGCCAGGCCUUCAAAAUCUCUGCUUUACAGAAAAGUCUGUCAGAUACUCUAGGCCUGCAGGCCAAAGAUGGAUGCUCCAAUG
Peromyscus maniculatus bairdii (prairie deer mouse) is the source of this 604-nucleotide non-coding RNA. Lineage: Eukaryota; Metazoa; Chordata; Mammalia; Rodentia; Cricetidae. The record is from RefSeq and is a predicted model, not a curated record.